UAGGCGGAAGCCUGUUGGCUUGGGCAUCUAGCUGUUAAUUAGAAUUUUAUGGGAUCGAGGCCCAUCCGUCUAG
RNAcentral lists this transfer RNA (73 nucleotides) under Opisthocomus hoazin. RNAcentral describes it as "tRNA-Asn". Lineage: Eukaryota; Metazoa; Chordata; Aves; Opisthocomiformes; Opisthocomidae. The record is from RNAcentral.